Erythranthe guttata (spotted monkey flower) is the source of this 563-nucleotide non-coding RNA. The record is from RefSeq and is a predicted model, not a curated record. Lineage: Eukaryota; Viridiplantae; Streptophyta; Magnoliopsida; Lamiales; Phrymaceae.
AAAUGUAAUUAAAAAUUCAUAAUCACUUUUAGAAAUCAGGAAAUAAUUAAUUAGUGAGAUUAUCUGUAAUUCUCGAGUCCAUGCCUUUCAAUCAGAUUAGGAUUAAAGCAAUUGAUUAAUAUUUUCCAGUUUCCAGCUCGAGAAAAAACCCUAGCCCCAAUACACCGGCAAGGUGACGUCAGCAAAUCAUCGGCGCAGUACUAUAAAUACACGUAUAAACUUUACCGACAAACACAUCUUCAGGCAGAGCAAUUAAUCAUGAUUUCAGUCACUUAUUUCAGACAAUUUCAGAUAAGGGAAAGAAACCGCACGGAUGUGGAUGCAUUAAAAGGGUAGAGAUUUUGAGACAAUCUAGUCUGGCAUUAGAGAUAAGUUCGUCGGUUUGACGUUUUUUGCCAUGGAUUAUGAAAAUUAAUUGUAUACGGCCCAAAUUACUGUGAUUUAUUUUCAUUUUGUGCCAUGUGAAUACGAGUGUGAAAUCUUAUGCUAGAGCGUGCUGUAAUUCGUAAUACAAAUUCGUAAUACAGAAACUAGAUCUCAAGUAGUAAUACAUCUUUUUCAUG